GUCCACCACAAAUACAAAGUGCACUCAAAUAAAAGAUAUCGAACAGGGUUAUUACUGUAAAAUACCAACAAAAAUGAAAGAAAAUACAAAUACGGAAGCAUUGUGCGGGAGAGAGAAGAAAAGGAAAACUGCCGGUCGCACACGAUCUGCAGACGACGAGAGAAACUGCCAGGCGCACGAUCUCAACACAAACAGAGACUCGGGUCACUCGGGGUACAUAUGGUUCCAUCAGUACUCACCCCUCUCCCAGUUUACAGUUCAUACAAGUCGAACAUAAACACAGAAAAAGGAGCAGAGUGAAAUCAAACGCAAAAGGAGGAGAAUAUUAUUAUCAUUGAGUUCGUAGAAAAAGCAAAUUGGUUUUCGUUGAUUAAAGCAUAAACAGAAGUCCGAGAAUUGGUGAAAAAAAACACAGAGAUAGCCUACUUGCAGUCAGACCAUAUUGCUAGAUUGGCUCCUCUACUCAUUGGUACCGAUAGAACAAACACAGCGAUAACUAAAACUCUGCUCAAUCAGGUACAAUCUCUAAUGUUCCUCAGGUAAUUUGUAACAUCAUAUAUCAUUUGUGAAGCAGAGUAGGUACUAUUUAAGAUUGAGAUUGAGACAGACUGCAUCCAGGAAGCAAAGGCUCAAGCAAUGACGAUCAUAAGCUUGAGUGAAGAUGUAAGGAAAAGUUGAGAAGCUUCACGUUACUUUGUGAAACUAUUUAGCCAUGGCUCCAAAAUGAUAGAAGAAAUGAAGGAAGAAAAAGCAAGAAGAGUGUGAAAGUGAGUGAGGAGGACAUUUGGUCGAAGAAGCAUGCAAAAUUAGAAGGUGGG
Molecule: long non-coding RNA, 818 nt
Organism: Rosa chinensis
Lineage: Eukaryota; Viridiplantae; Streptophyta; Magnoliopsida; Rosales; Rosaceae
Exons: 7
Source: RefSeq, a predicted model, not a curated record